This 25-nucleotide non-coding RNA is filed under the name Cricetulus griseus (Chinese hamster). Lineage: Eukaryota; Metazoa; Chordata; Mammalia; Rodentia; Cricetidae. The record is from RNAcentral.
GGGCAGUGAGGACUGGGUCUUCUUU